Molecule: long non-coding RNA, 1278 nt
Organism: Chiroxiphia lanceolata (lance-tailed manakin)
Lineage: Eukaryota; Metazoa; Chordata; Aves; Passeriformes; Pipridae
Exons: 2
Source: RefSeq, a predicted model, not a curated record
UGAGGCAGCAGCCAAGCAGCACCAAGUUCCUGUGUAAGCAGGGAAUAACUCCUGUCAGAGCAAGGUCCCGACUGAAGUGGCAGUUGCAGUUGUUCCUGUAGAACUCCAGGAGAGUGGAAGAGGGCAGAACCUGUAAGAAUUACCCCUGAUAUGGGAUCUCUCCUGGUAAGGCCAAGCCAGUAUCCUUUAAAAUCAGAAUACCAGCUUGGAUUGGUUGCAGUAAGAGCUGAAUUUGCUCCUCCUGGUUUGGUUGUAGAAGGUGAAUGCAAGAACCUACCAAGAAAACCAAUGGCCAAGGGGAUUGAUGAGUGCAGGACGUGAGAGAACCCCCUGAAAUGACAACCUGGAGUAGUUUGCAGUCUUAGAUUGAAAAGAUGGCCUUUGCUGCAUGUCCUGGAGCGAGGAAAGCCAAGAAACCUUUGCUUUUGCAGGAGAAAAUGGGGGAAGCGGGAAGGAAGAAGAGAAGCCCUGUGACUCCUCCCUGAGCCCCAGACAGCCCAGGAACUGCCUCCCUGGGAAUGGUGGCACGGGCUGGACUCUGGAUUGCUCCCUCUGGAUGUGUGGUAAGACUGUGAUGCCAACUUUUCCAAGAGCCUGUAAGAAUUUGCUACCUUGGCUAGAUGGUGCAAGGGCAGCCUUUAAGCAGCUGAAGCCUUCCCUGAGGAGAGCUCUGGGUCUGCCAGAUGUCUCAGAACUGUUGGCAGCAUCUUUGGUGGGGAGGGCAAAGAAAGGCCAAGGUGUGCAGUGACCCCCCUGAGAAGGGACUUUGAGUUCAUGGCAUCCCUGAUGGUGACCUUUGUGGGCUGUUCCCCCUGUAGGGCAGGUGAUAGUCCCAGCUACAGUGAUGGGAAAAAUGGUUAAAAGGGAGCCCCAAAAGCUGGAAAUCCUCCUGGAGGGUCUUGACCAAGAGAGUUUUCUGAGUUCCCCCUGACAGAAGGACAGUGAUAGCUUUUGUGUGCUAGUAGAUCCUUUGAAUAGAUAGCCUUGAGUGUGUCCUUGUUGCCCCAGUAGGCCUUGUCCAACUCCCCAUAUUUCAGGUGAUACACAUACUAAAGUUUAAACUGGUCUUCCUAAUCCUUUGUUGGCUUGAGGCUCUCCCCUGCAGGAACUGCAGGAACUCCUGGUGCCGCCUGGGCCGAUGGAUUGGACGCCCCAGCCCCUCCGUUCCUGCCCAGCCACUGGGGCCGUGUCGAGUGGUGGCACUGCCAGCCCUGCAGGUGAAGGGGAAAGGGCCUUUGCAGGUCUUGUGGGUCACAUUUAUAGCAGGUAAAGUUGCAG